This 515-nucleotide ribosomal RNA is filed under the name uncultured bacterium. RNAcentral describes it as "partial 16S ribosomal RNA". It matches the Rfam family "Bacterial small subunit ribosomal RNA", at positions 28 to 523 of the family's 1533-position model. The record is from RNAcentral.
GAUGAACGCUGGCGGCGUGCCUAAUACAUGCAAGUCGAGCGAAUGGAUUAAGAGCUUGCUCUUAUGAAGUUAGCGGCGGACGGGUGAGUAACACGUGGGUAACCUGCCCAUAAGACUGGGAUAACUCCGGGAAACCGGGGCUAGUACCGGAUAACAUUUUGAACCGCAUGGUUCGACAUUGAGAGGCGGCUGCGGCUGUCACUUAUGGAUGGACCCGCGUCGCAUUAGCUAGUUGGUGAGGUAACGGCUCACCAAGGCAACGAUGCGUAGCCGACCUGAGAGGGUGAUCGGCCACACUGGGACUGAGACACGGCCCAGACUCCUACGGGAGGCAGCAGUAGGGAAUCUUCCGCAAUGGACGAAAGUCUGACGGAGCAACGCCGCGUGAGUGAUGAAGGCUUUCGGGUCGUAAAACUCUGUUGUUAGGGAAGAACAAGUGCUAGUUGAAUAAGCUGGCACCUUGACGGUACCUGACCAGAAAGCCACGGCUAACUACGUGCCAGCCGCCGCUGUAA